RNAcentral lists this ribosomal RNA (598 nucleotides) under uncultured bacterium. Its description in RNAcentral is "bacterial SSU rRNA". It matches the Rfam family "Bacterial small subunit ribosomal RNA", at positions 258 to 866 of the family's 1533-position model. The record is from RNAcentral.
UAAUGGCUUACCAAGGCGACGGCGGGUAGCCGGCCUGAGAGGGUGACCGGCCACACUGGGACUGAGACACGGCCCAGACUCCUACGGGAGGCAGCAGUGGGGAAUAUUGCACAAUGGGCGCAAGCCUGAUGCAGCGGCGCCGCGUGAGGGAUGACGGCCUUCGGGUUGUAAACCUCUUUCAGUAGGGAAGAAGCGAAAGUGACGGUACCUGCAGAAGAAGCGCCGGCUAACUACGUGCCAGCAGCCGCGGUAAUACGUAGGGCGCAAGCGUUAUCCGGAAUUAUUGGGCGUAAAGAGCUCGUAGGCGGUUUGUCGCGUCUGCCGUGAAAGUCCGGGGCUCAACUCCGGAUCUGCGGUGGGUACGGGCAGACUAGAGUGAUGUAGGGGAGACUGGAAUUCCUGGUGUAGCGGUGAAAUGCGCAGAUAUCAGGAGGAACACCGAUGGCGAAGGCAGGUCUCUGGGCAUUAACUGACGCUGAGGAGCGAAAGCAUGGGGAGCGAACAGGAUUGGAUACCCUGGUAGUCCAUGCCGUAAACGUUGGGCACUAGGUGUGGGGGACAUUCCACGUUUUCCGCGCCGUAGCUAACGCAUUAAGUG